RNAcentral lists this ribosomal RNA (466 nucleotides) under uncultured bacterium. RNAcentral describes it as "bacterial SSU rRNA". It matches the Rfam family "Bacterial small subunit ribosomal RNA", at positions 329 to 793 of the family's 1533-position model. The record is from RNAcentral.
UACCAGACUCCUACGGGAGGCAGCAGUGAGGAAUAUUGGUCAAUGGCCGGAAGGCUGAACCAGCCAAGCCGCGUGAAGGACGAAGGUGCCAAGCAUUGUAAACUUCUUUUGUCAAGGGACAAAAUCAGGCUCGAGAGCCUGACCGAGGGUACUUGAAGAAAAAGCAUCGGCUAACUCCGUGCCAGCAGCCGCGGUAAUACGGAGGAUGCGAGCGUUAUCCGGAUUUAUUGGGUUUAAAGGGUGCGUAGGCGGACUGUUAAUUCAGCGUAAAACGCCGGGGCCACACCCCCGGCGAGCCGUUGAAACUGGCUGUCUUGAGAUGUCGAGAGGUAUGCGGAAUGCGCAGUGUAGCGGUGAAAUGCUUAGAUAUUGCGCAGAACUCCGAUUGCGAAGGCAGCCUACCGGCUCCUAUCUGACGCUGAGGCACGAAAGCGUGGGUAUCGAACAGGAUUAGAUACCCGUGUAC